UACAGAGGGUGCGAGCGUUGUUCGGAAUUAUUGGGCGUAAAGGGCGCGUAGGCGGUCGCGUAAGUCACUUGUGAAAUCUCCUGGCUCAACUGGGAGCUUGCAGGCGAAACUGCGUAACUGGAGUGUGGGAGAGGUGCGUGGAAUUCCUGGUGUAGCGGUGAAAUGCGUAGAUAUCAGGAGGAACACCUGUGGCGAAAGCGGCGCACUGGACCACAACUGACGCUGAGGCGCGAAAGCUAGGGGAGCAAACAGG
This 253-nucleotide ribosomal RNA is filed under the name uncultured bacterium. RNAcentral describes it as "partial 16S ribosomal RNA". It matches the Rfam family "Bacterial small subunit ribosomal RNA", at positions 524 to 776 of the family's 1533-position model. The record is from RNAcentral.